AGCUGCAGUGGCGGGGAGUGGGGUGCGGAUCUUGUGUUUGCGCACGCAGUCGCCGGCCACCUCAGGCCGGAGCUAGAGAUACGGCUCGGGAUAGGAGGGCCCGGCGGCUCUGAGGCAGGUUCGCCUCGAGCCGCACGGCCCGGAGCAGCGGCUCCGCGGUGGUCCCCGGGGCUUGAGAGGGGUGCGGGCCUGGGAGCCCCUGAGGGCCUGAUUUACGGAACUCCCCCUCCUUCCUCCUUUCUGCCGUUCCCUGCUCUGUGGCGGAUGCGCAGGGAUCAGUAGGGACGGCAGCAGUAGGGCCACUCGGGCCUGCCCCGCUUCCCGCAUUGCCCGGUUUGGCGCGCCGCCUCCGGGCCUUGGCAAAGCCCCAGCGCCCGAUUGUCACUGACCAGUGCUUGGAAGUCCUUUACCGACUGCCCGUCAGCGUCCCGCGGAGAGGAUUUUGCGUCUCCAAAGACGCCCCUCUUCCGAAAACAGGCUCCUCUGUGUUCUCAGUCGGGUAUAUUUUUCUGUCUCCAAACUAGAUUGGCAGCCGUUUUUUGAGAGCAGGGUCUUGCUCUGUUGCCCAGACUGGAGUGCAGUGGCGCCAUCUCAGCUGACUGCAGAUUCAACCUUCUGAGCUCACGAAAUCCUCCCAUCUCAACCUCCUGAGUAGCUGGGACCACAGGCUGAGCACAGGGUUGCUCCAGGUGGGCCCAAAUGCUGAAGAGCCUCAUGUUAGAGUUUUUCACCUCUGCGAUGGAACUGUGGUGGACUCCAGUAUCAUCAUUCCAGGGAGGCAUAGCCGCACCAACUGUGUUCCCAGGUUUCACAUGGAGAAGGGUUUUAGAAAGUGCAGAUAGCCUUGAAACCAUUGGUUUCCUACCACUGUUUAUUUCAGCAUAACUUUUUUUGUGUGGAAUGCUAGCUCUGGAAGAGCAGAAAUAAAUACAGCUUAAGCUUUGAACC
RNAcentral lists this long non-coding RNA (948 nucleotides) under Homo sapiens (human). RNAcentral describes it as "non-protein coding lnc-ANKRD27-2:1". Lineage: Eukaryota; Metazoa; Chordata; Mammalia; Primates; Hominidae. The record is from RNAcentral.